RNAcentral lists this transfer RNA (76 nucleotides) under Candidatus Omnitrophota bacterium. Its description in RNAcentral is "Candidatus Omnitrophica bacterium tRNA-His". It matches the Rfam family "tRNA". From Rfam's summary of the family: Transfer RNA (tRNA) molecules are approximately 80 nucleotides in length. Their secondary structure includes four short double-helical elements and three loops (D, anti-codon, and T loops). The record is from RNAcentral. Lineage: Bacteria; Pseudomonadati; Candidatus Omnitrophota.
GUGGGCGUAGCUCAGCUGGCAGAGCGCCUGACUGUGGCUCAGGUUGUCGUGGGUUCGAUCCCCAUCGCUCACCCCA